Molecule: ribosomal RNA, 504 nt
Filed under: uncultured bacterium
Lineage: Bacteria
Description: bacterial SSU rRNA
Rfam family: Bacterial small subunit ribosomal RNA
Source: RNAcentral
AUUGAACGCUGGCGGAAUGCUUUACACAUGCAAGUCGAACGGCAGCACGGGGGCAACCCUGGUGGCGAGUGGCGAACGGGUGAGUAAUACAUCGGAACGUGCCCAGUCGUGGGGGAUAACGUAGCGAAAGCUACGCUAAUACCGCAUACGAUCUACGGAUGAAAGCGGGGGAUCGCAAGACCUCGCGCGAUUGGAGCGGCCGAUGGCAGAUUAGGUAGUUGGUGGGGUAAAGGCUCACCAAGCCUUCGAUCUGUAGCUGGUCUGAGAGGACGACCAGCCACACUGGGACUGAGACACGGCCCAGACUCCUACGGGAGGCAGCAGUGGGGAAUUUUGGACAAUGGGCGAAAGCCUGAUCCAGCCAUUCCGCGUGCAGGAUGAAGGCCCUCGGGUUGUAAACUGCUUUUGUACGGAACGAAACGGCCUUUUCUAAUACAGAGGGCUAAUGACGGUACCGUAAGAAUAAGCACCGGCUAACUACGUGCCAGCAGCCGCGGUAAUGUA